AGGGCUGUAGCUCCAUGGUAGAGCACCGGCUUUGCAUGCAGAAGGUCACAGGUUCAAUUCCUGGUAACUCUG
Podarcis lilfordi (Lilford's wall lizard) is the source of this 72-nucleotide non-coding RNA. The record is from the annotation of a GenBank genome assembly. Lineage: Eukaryota; Metazoa; Chordata; Lepidosauria; Squamata; Lacertidae.